This 639-nucleotide ribosomal RNA is filed under the name uncultured Flavobacteriales bacterium. RNAcentral describes it as "bacterial SSU rRNA". It matches the Rfam family "Bacterial small subunit ribosomal RNA", at positions 43 to 683 of the family's 1533-position model. Lineage: Bacteria; Pseudomonadati; Bacteroidota; Flavobacteriia; Flavobacteriales. The record is from RNAcentral.
CAGGCUUAACACAUGCAAGUCGAGGGGUAUUAGUUUUCGGACUAAGAGACCGGCGCACGGGUGCGUAACGCGUAUGCAAUCUACCUUUUACAGAGGGAUAGCCCAGAGAAAUUUGGAUUAAUACCUCAUAGUAUAGCAGUUUCGCAUGAAACCACUAUUAAAGUCACAACGGUAAAAGAUGAGCAUGCGUCCCAUUAGCUAGUUGGUAAGGUAACGGCUUACCAAGGCUACGAUGGGUAGGGGUCCUGAGAGGGAGAUCCCCCACACUGGUACUGAGACACGGACCAGACUCCUACGGGAGGCAGCAGUGAGGAAUAUUGGACAAUGGGCGCAAGCCUGAUCCAGCCAUGCCGCGUGCAGGAUGACGGUCCUAUGGAUUGUAAACUGCUUUUGUACGAGAAGAAACACUCCUAUGUAUAGGAGCUUGACGGUAUCGUAAGAAUAAGGAUCGGCUAACUCCGUGCCAGCAGCCGCGGUAAUACGGAGGAUCCAAGCGUUAUCCGGAAUCAUUGGGUUUAAAGGGUCCGUAGGCGGUUUAGUAAGUCAGUGGUGAAAGCCCAUCGCUCAACGGUGGAACGGCCAUUGAUACUGCUGAACUUGAAUUAUUAGGAAGUAACUAGAAUAUGUAGUGUAGCGGUG